GAUGAAGAACGUAGCGAAAUGCGAUAAGUAAUGUGAAUUGCAGAAUUCAGUGAAUCAUCGAAUCUUUGAACGCACCUUGCGCCCUUUGGCCAUUCCGACGGGCAUGCCUGUUUGAGUAUCAUGAACACCUCAACUCUUUAUGGUUUUCCAUGAUGAGCUUGGACUCUGGGGGUUUUGCUGGCUCACAGUCGGCUCCUCUAAAAUGAAUCAGCUUACCAGUGUUUGGUGGGUAUCAUGGGUGUGAUAACUAUCUACGCUUGUGGUUUUUCCACCAGGUAACCUUCAGCAGUGGAGGUUCGCUGGAGCUCAUAGAUGUCUCUCCUCAGUGAGGACAGCCCUUUGAAUGUUUGAUCUCAAAUCAGGUAGGACUACCCGCUGAACUUAAGCAUAUCAAUAAGCGGAGGA
This 405-nucleotide unclassified non-coding RNA is filed under the name soil metagenome. RNAcentral describes it as "partial contains 5.8S ribosomal RNA, internal transcribed spacer 2, and large subunit ribosomal RNA". The stretch from base 1 to 121 matches the Rfam family "5.8S ribosomal RNA", at positions 35 to 154 of the family's 154-position model. The record is from RNAcentral.